This 497-nucleotide ribosomal RNA is filed under the name uncultured bacterium. RNAcentral describes it as "partial 16S ribosomal RNA". It matches the Rfam family "Bacterial small subunit ribosomal RNA", at positions 28 to 507 of the family's 1533-position model. The record is from RNAcentral.
GAUGAACGCUGGCGGCGUGCCUAAUACAUGCAAGUCGAGCGAACAGAUGAGGAGCUUGCUCCUCUGACGUUAGCGGCGGACGGGUGAGUAACACGUGGAUAACCUACUUAUAAGACUGGGAUAACUUCGGGAAACCGGAUCUAAUACCGGAUAAUAUAUUGAACCGUAUGGUUGAAUAGUGAAAGACGGCUUUGCUGGCAGUUAUAGAGGGAUCCGCGCCGCAUUAGCUAGUUGGUAAGGUAACGGCUUAUCAAGGGGACGAUGCGUAGCCGACCGGAGAGGGUGGUCGGCCACACUGGAGCUGGGACACGGUCCAGACUCCUGCGGGAGGCAGCAGUAGGGAAUCUUCCGCAAUGGGCGGAAGCAUGACGGAGCAACGCCGCGUGAGUGAUGAAGGUCUUCGGAGCGUAAAACUCUGUUAUUAGGGAAGAACAAAUGUGUAAGGAACUAUGCCCGUCUUGACGGUACCUAGUCAGAAAGCCACGGCUAACUACGUG